AUUCCGUCUCAAGCACUCCAAUUUGCCGCCUCCCAUUGCGAUGGAAGCAAAUUCUAAACCCUAGCCGCAUAGGAAUUUGCACUCCCAAAUCCCAAUAGGAAUUUGCUUCCCAUUGCGAUGGCCGAUGGGUUUUACCCCUCUCUCCUCGUCGAGCCGUCGGCUCAGACCCUAAACCCUAGCCGCUGCCCACCCAGUCCGCUUCACCAUGGAGGACGCCCUCGCGCCGCCGCCCGUGGCGCCAUCCCCCGCUCCCCUCGCCGCCGUGCUCACUCGCCGGCGGUCACACCUCGACAGCGCCUCCUACCGCACGCUCUCCCGCCUCUUCUCCCAUUGCUUGCACCUCCACCCGUCGCGUCGCGAGGUCCCCGCGACGCCCGAGCCCGCCGCCGCGAACCCUACCGGCGUGGAGUCCGGCGAUCCCCCGCGGGCGCCUAAGGACGCCGAUGUUGAUCGGCGGAAGGAUGUGGAAAAGGAGGCGGCGGCUGCGGGAAGCUCUUCGCGUCACGAGACCGUCUCGCCAGCGAGGGAUGAACCCGCCGCGGCGAAUCCUACCGGAGACCCGGGUGAGGCUGAGGCUCCGCAGGGCUCGCUGGAGGAUGUGGACGAGGCAGUUGUUGUAGAAAGCACCUGCGGUAAGACUGGUGCCGGGGGUGAGGAGUCGGGGGUUGGAGCUGGACCGGUGGUGGAAGAUGAGGCUCUGAAGUCGGUGAAGGCUUGCUUGGAGGGAGAGUUUGAUGAAUCGGUAGAAGGGGCAGUGGUUAAUACCGAUGGACAGCUGCUGCUUGACGCGAUGAUGACCAACUUUACAGUGAUGAUUGAUGAUGAUGAUGCUGGUGCGAUGCCAGCACAGACUUGUGCGGUUUCCGGGGGCGAGCUGCAGAAUAGCAAAGCAUCUGAGGAGUUGAAACAAUCGGAAAGUGGGAUUGAAGACGGCAGACUUGUGAGCAAUUCUGAUCGCAAGAAGAUAGAUGGUGGUGGUUUCGAAGAAGGAGAGAUUGAGGGUGAGCUGAAGGAUUUGGAUUCACAAGAAUUUGGAGAUUUGGAGCUUGGAGAUGAUGAGAAAUUGGAAGGGUGUUCCGUUAGCAGAGGCUCAGGGGUGAAUAAAUCUUGUGAUCAUGAUUUGCGGUGUGGGAAUUUGCAUUUGACACCUGAAAUUAAAGGAAAUGGUGAUCUUAUAGUGAACAAAGAUGCUAAUGUCAGGGAUGAUGCGCAAAUUUGUGUUACCAGGGCUCAAGCUGUCAGUUAUGAUGAAGUUGUGGAUUGGAAUGAGACACCACUGCCUGACGAUGAGGCUCCCAACCCCGGGAAGAAGAGAAAACGCCAUGUGACAGAAGAGAGAAAGGCUCAGAAGACGAAAAGGAAAAGAAUUAAUAGAGCACAGCAACGGAUAGCUGAAGGAGUCAACAAACUGAUACUUCGACCUGUUAUAAAGCUGAAGGCAGUGAAAAAAUGCCACUUCUACGACCAUGGGAAGUGCCAGCAGGGCAAUAGUUGCAAGUUCUCCCAUGAUUUUACGCCUUCAACAAAAUCUAAGGCCUGCUCACAUUUUGCGCGUGGUUCUUGUUUGAAAGGAGAUGAUUGUCCAUAUGAUCAUGAGUUGUCAAAACACUGCUGCCAUAACUUUAAAAAUGGCAUGUGCUUCAGAGGUGAUAAAUGCAAAUUUUCUCAUGUGAUGCUAACUACAGAAAGUACUUCCACACAAGAUGCAAAGGAAUCUGAUGCCUCGUUGGCAUUUGAAAAAACAAACCUGAGAGAGCAUACAAGUAACCAGAAAACCACAACAGUUGGUGAACCUGUGAUCUCUGCUCCCACCAAACAACAGUAUUCCAUCCUUAAAAACCUGGCUGGCAUCUCAAUCAAUUCUCAAAAAGUUUCUACUCGUAUUCCGAAGGGUGUGCAGUUUCUUCCCUUCGGUAAAGGUGGAUCAAAUUCGAGCAGUCUGCAUCAGGAUGCGUUGUCCAUUGAGAAGCAUAGGAAUGCAAAUGGCAGUCAACAUCAGUACCUUGGAGGACAUCAAACAGAAAAACCAGUUCCACUGCUAGAUGAGAAGAAUUCAACAAAAGAAGCUACUAUGCAUCCAUGUUCAGACCCAAAGAAAGCUAGUUUACCUAUUGAUUCUACUGCAACACCUGGAUUAAUACAUACUCAGCGUGAAGUCUUAGAAGCCUCUAGGAUUUUGCAGGAGUUCUUGUUUGGUGCCGGCAGUUAGAGGAAAAUAUGAAUAAGAUGGCAAAGAUUUACUAUGGGUCUAUGAAGAAUGACUAUUAUGUACUGAGUGAACUUCUGUUUAACCCACAUGGUAGUUACAUGGAGCAAGUCAGUUCUUACACUGGAUGUAAGCUUACUGCUUUGGCACGGAAGACUGGCGUGAUUCCUUUGUUUUGUUGUCAUGGAAAAGUUGAACUCCAAUUUUUUUAGCACAUUUCUGGCUGUUGAGCUACCCGUUGAAAGAUGUUGUACACGGGAUGAUUUCUCCAGCUGCUUAGCUAUCAAGCUUCUGCCUUGCUCAAAGGUGCCAGGGAAUCCAGAUACAUCCAUGCAAAAGCUUUGCCACGUGAUCAUGGCAGCUAUUGCGAUUGCAAUUAGUCUUGUAUCAUCAUGAUUUCGAGCACAUGUGUGGCAGACUUAUUGGUCCUUCACUGGAGACCAAUGUUAGCCUGGUGCAGUGCAUGGUUUGAACUUACAAUCUUACAUGCAUACGGUACUGGUGAUCUGCUAUCCCUUUGGUUCAGAAUUACUUGUGAAGUAGCUGGAGACCGCGGGACACCAGGGCAGAUUCUGAAGGCCCCAGAUAUGAGCUGGAUCGUAUGGCUGUUGCUUUGUCUCAAAAGCAGCUCGGCCUGUCCUGUGCCUACCUGCUGUCAAAAUCUCAGCUGCUGUUGCAUCAAUUCAGAAUUACAUUCACAUGAUCACUUUUUUUUUUAACCAUGAAUUCACAUGAUCACAGAGAGGGCUCACAUGCUGUUGUAUCACUUCCAGCUUGCUAUGCAAGCAGACAUGUGAGUUAUGUCCCUCUACUCCUGCUUGACUGCUGUCACAUGACCAAAUGACUGUGACUCUGUAUCAGUCAGUUUCUUCAAUUUCUCAUAUGAUGAUGCCCUAUCC
RNA transcript from Phragmites australis (common reed), 3105 nucleotides. It is a transcript of the gene named zinc finger CCCH domain-containing protein 7-like, with no coding region annotated. The transcript has 9 exons. NCBI's taxonomy places the organism in Eukaryota, Viridiplantae, Streptophyta, Magnoliopsida, Poales, Poaceae. The record is from RefSeq and is a predicted model, not a curated record.